RNAcentral lists this ribosomal RNA (497 nucleotides) under uncultured bacterium. RNAcentral describes it as "partial 16S ribosomal RNA". It matches the Rfam family "Bacterial small subunit ribosomal RNA", at positions 28 to 507 of the family's 1533-position model. The record is from RNAcentral.
GAUGAACGCUGGCGGCGUGCCUAAUACAUGCAAGUCGAGCGAACAGACGAGGAGCUUGCUCCUCUGACGUUAGCGGCGGACGGGUGAGUAACACGUGGAUAACCUACCUAUAAGACUGGGAUAACUUCGGGAAACCGGAGCUAAUACCGGAUAAUAUAUUGAACCGCAUGGUUCAAUAGUGAAAGACGGUUUUGCUGUCACUUAUAGAUGGAUCCGCGCCGCAUUAGCUAGUUGGUAAGGUAACGGCUUACCAAGGCAACGAUGCGUAGCCGACCUGAGAGGGGGGUAGGCGAAAUUGGAAAUGAGACAGGGACGAGACGAUGACGGGAGGCCGCAGUCGGGGAUCGGCAGCAAUGUGUGGGAACCUGAAGGAUCAAAGCGGAGUGAGUGAGGAAGGUGUAAGUAUCGUAAAACUCUGUGAAGAGGGAAGAACAAAUGUGUAAGUAACAAGGCACGUAGUGACGGUACCUAAUCAGAAAGACACAGCUACCUACGUA